This 87-nucleotide transfer RNA is filed under the name Colwellia sp. MT41. It matches the Rfam family "tRNA". Rfam says of the family: Transfer RNA (tRNA) molecules are approximately 80 nucleotides in length. Lineage: Bacteria; Pseudomonadati; Pseudomonadota; Gammaproteobacteria; Alteromonadales; Colwelliaceae. The record is from Rfam by way of RNAcentral.
GGAGAGUUGGCUGAGUGGUUUAAGGCGCUCGCUUGGAAAGCGAGUGAAGGUUUAUCCCUUCCGUGAGUUCGAAUCUCAUGCUCUCCG